Hordeum vulgare subsp. vulgare (domesticated barley) is the source of this 136-nucleotide non-coding RNA. The record is from Rfam. Lineage: Eukaryota; Viridiplantae; Streptophyta; Magnoliopsida; Poales; Poaceae.
AUAGUACUCCCCCCAUCUCAGAAUUCUUGUCUUAGUUUUAUCUAUAAAUGGAUGUAUCAAAAUACUAAUACAUGACUAGAUACAUUCAUAUCUCGACAAAUCAAAUGCAAGAAUUUUGGAACGGAGGGAGUAGUAU